GGGGGUUUAGCUCAGUGGUAGAGCGUCCGCUUUGCACGUGAAAGGUCCCGGGUUCAAUCCCCGGCAUCUCCA
RNAcentral lists this transfer RNA (72 nucleotides) under Cordylochernes scorpioides. RNAcentral describes it as "tRNA-Ala". It matches the Rfam family "tRNA". From Rfam's summary of the family: Transfer RNA (tRNA) molecules are approximately 80 nucleotides in length. Their secondary structure includes four short double-helical elements and three loops (D, anti-codon, and T loops). The record is from RNAcentral. Lineage: Eukaryota; Metazoa; Arthropoda; Arachnida; Pseudoscorpiones; Chernetidae.